This 421-nucleotide ribosomal RNA is filed under the name uncultured bacterium. RNAcentral's name for it is "partial 16S ribosomal RNA". It matches the Rfam family "Bacterial small subunit ribosomal RNA", at positions 360 to 773 of the family's 1533-position model. The record is from RNAcentral.
AAUAUUGGACAAUGGGCGUAAGCGUGUUCUAGUCAUGCCGCGUGUGUGAAUAUGGUCUUUGGUUUGUAAAGCACUUUAUGUUGGGAGGAAGGGCAGUAAGGUAAUACCUUGCUGUUUUGUCGUUACCGUCAGUAUAAGUAUCGGCUAACUUCUCGUCAGCAGCCGUGGUAAUACGAAGGCUGCAAGCGUUAAGCGGAAUUGCGGGGCGUAAAGCGGGCGUAGGUGGUUUGUUAAGGUGGAAGUGAAAGCCCCGGGCUCAACCUGGGAACUGCUUUCAAAACUGGCAAGCUAGAGUAUGGCAGAGGGUGGUGGAAUUUCCUGUGUAGCGGUGAAAUGCGUAAAUAUAGGAAGGAACACCAGUGGCGAAGGCGACCACCUGGGCUAAUACUGACACUGAGGUGCGAAAGCGUGGGGAGCAAAC